AAAAAUAGUGCCCAGCAGCACAGCCGGGUCAGAACCGCGACAAUGUUACCGCGAAUAUUUAUUGAUCGGCCCUUUUAACGCGCCCGUCGCGGUCAGCACGUGACCGGAAUUCGUUCAGCCAAACCCCACGCGUGGCAACCGGCGACGGGGCGCCCCAUGUCACAGAGGAGGAGGCCGGGGCUCGGAGGAAGCCGGCGGCCCGUCCCAGGCACCCCAGCCAGUGGAGAGAGACCUGAAUUGACGUGAUGGGCGAACCCCUCAUCUGCAGCCCCCGUGGACAGCACGCAGGUGUUCGCUAUAUCCGUCUUCGCGCUGUUCUUUCUUUCCGACUCAAAAUUAAAAACGAGUGAUUACAACGAAGAGACAAAGUCGCGGAGCAUUGAAAUAGGUGGAGCAGAAGCCGUAGAACAUUCCAGGCGGAGGCGCCAGCGUCAGCAAAGACCUGGAGGCCGCGAAAUGAGUGCCUGGCCCCACUCACCCACCGGAAGAGAAUACCCAAGGAUGGGAUAAAGCAGGAGGUGGAGAUCAUCCAAGGGCCCUUCUAGAAGUGGGACUCAUUGAGGAUGGCACUCGAUGCUCUCACCGUGGAAUACUACACAGCUGUUAAAAGUGAUAGGGAGUUUUCAUUUAGAAUAUUAUCCUGUUACUGUUAAAAAAAAUGCAUGCAUAUAAGCAUCCGUCAUAAUCCAGGAAAGGCCAUGCCUCAGUGCCUUUGCACGUGCCGUGCUUUCUGCCUGGAAUGCUCUUCCUUCGUCUCUCUGCAUAGCUCCCUCUCUCAUCUCCUUCUGGCCUGUGUUCCAGUGUCACCUCCUCCGAGAAGCCCUCCAUGACCACUCUCUGUCUAAAAUAGUCCCAUCCCCCCCGACCCCCGACCCUACUUUGUUUUGUCCGCAUCACGGCUCAUCAUUUGACCUUACACUUAUCUUGCUGACCCUCCGUCUCCCCCACUGGAAUGUCAGCUGCACGAGGGUGAGGACUCCUGCCUGGUUUGUUCACUGCGGUGUUUCCAUUGCCUGGCACACAGUCGGUGCUCAAUAAAUACAAGUUGAACACAUGAA
RNAcentral lists this long non-coding RNA (1058 nucleotides) under Equus asinus (donkey). RNAcentral's name for it is "lncRNA (ENSEASG00005037093.1)". Lineage: Eukaryota; Metazoa; Chordata; Mammalia; Perissodactyla; Equidae. The record is from RNAcentral.